CCUACGGGGGGCAGCAGUGAGGAAUAUUGGUCAAUGGUCGGAAGACUGAACCAGCCAAGUAGCGUGAAGGAUGAAGGUUCUAUGGAUUGUAAACUUCUUUUAUACGGGAAUAAAACCACCUACGUGUAGGUGCUUGUAUGUACCGUAUGAAUAAGCAUCGGCUAACUCCGUGCCAGCAGCCGCGGUAAUACGGAGGAUGCGAGCGUUAUCCGGAUUUAUUGGGUUUAAAGGGAGCGUAGACGGGAUGUUAAGUCAGUUGUGAAAGGCUGCGGCUCAACCGCAGCACUGCAGUUGAUACUGGCGUCCUUGAGUGCGGUUGAGGUGUGUGGAAUUCGUGGUGUAGCGGUGAAAUGCUUAGAUAUCACGAAGAACUCCGAUUGCGAAGGCAGCACACUAAGCCGCUACUGACGUUGAGGCUCGAAAGUGUGGGUAUCAAACAG
RNAcentral lists this ribosomal RNA (440 nucleotides) under uncultured bacterium. RNAcentral describes it as "bacterial SSU rRNA". It matches the Rfam family "Bacterial small subunit ribosomal RNA", at positions 338 to 775 of the family's 1533-position model. The record is from RNAcentral.